ACGGCUCAGUAACACGUGGCUAAUCUGCCCUUAGGACGAGAACAACCCCGGGAAACUGGGGCCAACUCUUGAUAGGUGAAGAACUCUGGAAUGAGUCUUUGCCUAAAAAGAUUCACGUUAUCCUCGUGAACCUGCCUAAGGAUGAGGCCGCGACCGAUCAGGUUGUUGGCGAGGUAAUGGCUCACCAAGCCUUUUACCGGUGCGGGCCGUGGGAGCGGGAGCCCGGAGAUGGGUACUGAGACAAGGACCCAGGCCCUACGGGGCGCAGCAGUCGCGAAACCUUUGCAAUACACGAAAGUGUGACAGGGCUAUCCCGAGUGCCAUCCGCUGAGGAAGGCUUUUACCCAGUCUAGAACGCUGGGGGAAUAAGGAGAGGGCAAGUCUGGUGUCAGCCGCCGCGGUAAUACCAGCUCUCCGAGUGGUGUGGAUGUUUAUUGGGCCUAAAGCAUCCGUAGCUGGCUAGGUAAGUCCCUUGUUAAAUCCACCGAAUUAAUCGUUGGAUCGCGGGGGAUACUGCUUGGCUAGGGGACGAGAGAGGCAGACAGUAUUUUCGGGGUAGGGGUGAAAUCUUAUAAUCCCGGGAAGACCACCAGUGGCGAAGGCUGUCUGCUAGAACGCUCCCGACGGUGAGGGAUGAAAGCUGGGGGAGCGAACCGGAUUAGAUACCCGGGUAGUCCCAGCUGUAAACGAUGCAGACUAGGUGUUUGGACGGCCACGUGCCGUUAUAGUGCCGCAGGGAAGCUGUUAAGUCUGCCGCCUGGGGAGUACGAUCGCAAGAUUGAAACUUAAAGGAAUUGGCGGGGGAGCAC
RNAcentral lists this ribosomal RNA (809 nucleotides) under uncultured archaeon. RNAcentral describes it as "bacterial SSU rRNA". It matches the Rfam family "Archaeal small subunit ribosomal RNA", at positions 85 to 879 of the family's 1478-position model. The record is from RNAcentral.